CGUACUUGAAAAUGCCAUUCGAAACCAUUUCGGAUGGUGAUCCAAUUAUAAAGAUAUAACUUUUUCUUAUAAAAUAUACAAAAUUUUUCAAGAAGCACACCAAAGGUCCUGGAACGGAUUUCGUCGGAAAUUAUAUAGGAGGGGGAAUAAAAAAUUCCCAUACACAUAUGAAUGGUUUUCCAAAAUUUGAUAUUUGAAAUCAAGGAGCACCAUGCUUGCUUUAUUGCUUUCAAAAUAAAAUUACAAUGAAAUGAAAUCUACACUAAUGGCGUUUCUCAUAUAUUUUCAGGAAAUAUUAUUGUCUGUUGCUGUGGCAUUUCUCAAAUUGACCUUGAGCUUUUUUAAUAGAUCAAAAAUGUGUUUUAAUUAUUUGUAACUAAUUGCCGCCCAACACUGGCGCAGUAAUGCAGCAGUAGCAGUAGCAGCAGCAGGAACUCGUGGGAUGGUUUCAAUUGGCACUUUUAUGUUUGAAAUUCAAUGCCAUGACACGGAGAACAUUUAUUCGAUAAAGCUGUCAGUACAUACGUAUGGAAUUCAAAAAUAUAAACAUUUUCUUUUUCGA
Musca domestica (house fly) is the source of this 562-nucleotide long non-coding RNA. RefSeq lists it as uncharacterized. The record is from RefSeq and is a predicted model, not a curated record. NCBI's taxonomy places the organism in Eukaryota, Metazoa, Arthropoda, Insecta, Diptera, Muscidae. The transcript is spliced from 3 exons.